Long non-coding RNA from Corythoichthys intestinalis (scribbled pipefish), 705 nucleotides. RefSeq lists it as uncharacterized. The transcript is spliced from 3 exons. NCBI's taxonomy places the organism in Eukaryota, Metazoa, Chordata, Actinopteri, Syngnathiformes, Syngnathidae. The record is from RefSeq and is a predicted model, not a curated record.
GUCACUCAAACACCCGCCUGUGAAAUGGCAUCCUGGAUUUUUCCCCAAAUUCAAAUCAGUCUCUCAUAACAGUGACAUUUUUAAUUAUGCAUGAAUCCUGCUCGUCAAAGUUUAACUAAUGAAUGACUCUGCAAGCAGUGGAAUGUGUCAAGGUCCUGCAGUAGAGCUGGCUAAGCUUGCAUGCUGGGACCAAAGGUCAGCCUCCUCACCUGUUCCUCGAUUGACUUUUUUCCAACCAUCUCCUGUGGACACCUACAAGACGAUGAUGACCUCGAUCCUGGAUGCACAAUGUGAGUGAAUGUUAUCUUUUAAGAAUUAUGUAAUCAUUUCGGAACCAGGAAGUCCGAGGGAAAUCUUGCCUCCUGAUUGAAAUACACCUCUCUGCGCUCAAGCAAUCACGGAAACCGGCAGAAGUGGGAGUGUGAAUUGAGUCACUACAGGCAUCGCCAACACACACGAGCUUCCCACCGAGACAUCCACUUCACCGACUUCAGAUCAGAGCAACGAGUAUUCAAAUUAGAUCCAGUCAGAUCAUGUGUAUUAUGGAGAAACUGCACAUCUGUGGAACAUAUCUAAACAGACCAACUGAAGAUGCUUGCAAAAUGACAUUUUAGGCACUUUAAAUACAAAUUGUUGUGCAAACUUGGUAAAAUGGCAUCCAAGGUUAUGGAAAAUAAUUAAUAAAACUUUACUGCCACUCUAGGA